CUCAAGUUUCCACAAUUUUGUCCACACAUGAAUUUGAGCACAGCCAAUCAUACAAACUCUCCUGUGGGACAAGUCGACAUGUACUGUUAUGAAUCCGGCAUACUUGCAAGAAUAUUACUGACAGUCACUGGAUGUCACUGGAUGUUUCAAUGUUAAUUAACAAAGAUUUAUUACAAUAGAAUGUGAAUAUUUAAAGUAAACAUAGAUAGAAAUGUUCAUUUGGAUGUUCAAGUUUCCAUCGCUUCUCCUCCAGUAGAGGUGACUGCAGUCUGGAUAAUGUCCCAUUUUAUUGGAUUCACUUCUUUCUUGAGGAUCGCUUGAAUGAAGAGAGAAUAAAUUAUAAGGUGUGGCAUGAUGGCUAUUGCGUGUGUCUUUUAUUUCCCUCCUGUAGUAACACUGGACCUCUAGGAAGAACAGUUUAGAAC
Molecule: non-coding RNA, 425 nt
Organism: Paramuricea clavata
Lineage: Eukaryota; Metazoa; Cnidaria; Anthozoa; Malacalcyonacea; Plexauridae
Source: the annotation of a GenBank genome assembly